AGGCGGUAUGGAAGUUAAAAAUCGUAACAAGGUUUCCGUAGGUGAACCUGCGGAAGGAUCAUUA
Molecule: ribosomal RNA, 64 nt
Filed under: Erysiphe buhrii
Lineage: Eukaryota; Fungi; Ascomycota; Leotiomycetes; Helotiales; Erysiphaceae
Description: partial 18S ribosomal RNA
Rfam family: Eukaryotic small subunit ribosomal RNA
Source: RNAcentral